This is a non-coding RNA of Picea glauca (white spruce), 110 nucleotides long. Lineage: Eukaryota; Viridiplantae; Streptophyta; Pinopsida; Pinales; Pinaceae. The record is from Rfam.
UACAACAUAGUGUUAAUGCAUUGGAUCCCAUUAGAACUUUGCAGUUAAGCAUGCUCAUGCUAGAGUAGUGUUUGGAUGGGAGACCGCCCAGGAAGUUCUUAAUAUUUUAC